RNAcentral lists this ribosomal RNA (244 nucleotides) under Vibrio parahaemolyticus. RNAcentral describes it as "partial 16S ribosomal RNA". It matches the Rfam family "Bacterial small subunit ribosomal RNA", at positions 1004 to 1247 of the family's 1533-position model. The record is from RNAcentral. Lineage: Bacteria; Pseudomonadati; Pseudomonadota; Gammaproteobacteria; Vibrionales; Vibrionaceae.
AGAUGGAUUGGUGCCUUCGGGAACUCUGAGACAGGUGCUGCAUGGCUGUCGUCAGCUCGUGUUGUGAAAUGUUGGGUUAAGUCCCGCAACGAGCGCAACCCUUAUCCUUGUUUGCCAGCGAGUAAUGGCGGGAACUCCAGGGAGACUGCCGGUGAUAAACCGGAGGAAGGUGGGGACGACGUCAAGUCAUCAUGGCCCUUACGAGUAGGGCUACACACGUGCUACAAUGGCGCAUACAGAGGGC